CAUGGCUGAGGCGGGAUGAGAGGCCCAGGCCCCCUAGCUCCUGCUCCCUGUAGCAGUCCCCCUCACACAAGCACCCAGUCUGCCCCUAGAUGAAGGCAGAGGUGACUGCCAACAGCCACCAACAGGCGACACUCAGGCCAGCACACAAGCUGUGGGUCACUGCUGUGUUCCUCAUCUCUGCCUGUGCAGACUCAGCCCUGGCCUUUGGGUUCUCUUGCAGAUGAAGAAGUCGAGAUGACGCGGAUGGCGGUCCAGUUUGAGCUGGAGGACCUGAACCUGCGGCCUGACCCAGAGCCACUUCUCACCGAGAUGAUUCAUGAAGUAAAAUGUCAAACUCGAGAAUGCCCCCGCAUCUCGAACAGUGGUCCUCGGGACACCAGGGGUGGUGGGGAGGGUGCCUCCGUGAUGUUGUCCUUGCAGGUUAUGGAUAUAUACAGAACAUUUUUUUGUUUUUUGAGAUGAGGUUUCUCCACAUUGCCUACACUGGUCUUGCACUCCUGGGCUCAGCUCAGGUGAUCCUCCUGCCUCUGCCUCCCAAGUAGCUGGGAUUACAGGCGUGAGUCACCGCACUCAGCUUAGAACAUUCUUGAUUUCUGAGUCUGCUGUUUAUACAAUGUUCAUAUUUUCCAGUUUUUAUAGUAACUAGGUCUUUACUACUAAACACAAUUAAUCUUAGGCUUUUUGUGAAUUUGUAUUCUGGAGAGGCAGAUUUUACUCUUUUUAUAAAUACGCACACAGCUGCUAUUGCCAGACUGCAAGUAAAAUAUCAGCUUGCGUCGGAUUUUCCCAGGGCUGGCUGCAGAUGGGCGCUGGUGCUGCUUGUUGGAGGAAGCCUGGUCAUGCUGUCUUCAGUCACCUGUGUCUGUGGCUCUUCCCCAUUAGGCGGCUUACAGGGAGAACACAGUUGGCCUCCACCGUUUCUGCCCCACAGAAAACAUAGCAAAGAUCAACGGAGAGGUGCUGCAUUCGUACCUGAGGAACUACUACACUCCCGACCGCAUGGUGCUGGCUGGCGUGGGCGUGGAGCACGAGCAUCUGGUGGACUGUGCCCGGAAGUACCUCCUGGGGGUCCAGCCGGCCUGGGGGAGCGCAGAGGCCGUGGAUAUUGACAGAUCUGUGGCCCAGUACACUGGGGGGAUUGCCAAGCUAGAAAGAGACAUGUCCAAUGUCAGCCUGGGCCCGACCCCCAUCCCCGAGCUCACGCACAUCAUGGUUGGACUGGAGAGCUGCUCCUUCCUGGAGGAGGACUUCAUCCCCUUUGCAGUGUUGAACAUGAUGAUGGGCGGAGGUGGCUCCUUCUCGGCUGGUGGGCCCGGCAAGGGCAUGUUCUCCAGGCUCUACCUCAACGUGCUCAACAGGCACCACUGGAUGUAUAACGCGACCUCCUACCACCACAGCUACGAGGACACUGGCCUCCUUUGCAUCCAUGCCAGUGCCGACCCAAGACAGGUUCGAGAAAUGGUAGAAAUCAUCACAAAGGAGUUUAUUUUAAUGGGCGGAACCGUGGACGCGGUAAGUGCAGAGUGGCGCCAUUUCCAGGCGUACCUGUGGUGUCUGACAGGAGACAGCCACGUUGUAGGAGUGGCCACCUGUGGGCCUGGUCCCUGAGCCUCAGGGCCAAGGUCCCGGCAGGGCAGGGCAGGGCGGCCAAGGAGGCACAGCCUGGGGCUGAGCUGCUCCACCUGGGAGCCCGCUGAGGCUGUUCUUCCCUGGUCCAAACCUCGAAAACAGAAAAACAGACCACCGCCCUCCCCCAGUGCUCGGUCCACUACUUCUUUCUCUGAGCCACUGGGUGAGUCGUGGGACUGACCAUGUGACUCUCUCAGCUUUGCUGGCGAAACGCUGCAGGAGUUUUUGUGUCCUUCUCAGCCGCCUCUGUGAGGUGACUGGGGUGAGGCAGCUUGCACAGGUGGGCUGCAGCGUGGGGUGUCUCGAGCCUUUCCCUGGCUCCAUUCUAUGUUUGAAACUGUAUUUCUUUACCAAUUUUUUUUUGUUCUUUUUAAGAUGGAGUCUUACUGUCUCACUCAGGCUGGAGUGCAGUAGCUCAAAUUCGGCUCACUGCAACCUCCACCUCCCGGGUUCAAGCGAUUCUCCUGCUUCAGCCUCCCAAGUAGCUGGGAUUACAGGCAUGCGCCACCACGCCUGGCUAAUUUUUGUAUUUUUAGUAGAGACGGGGUUUCGCCAUGUUGGCCAGGCGGGUCUCAAACUCCUGACCUCAGGUGAUCCGUUGCCUUGGCCUCCCAAGGUGCUGGGAUUACAAUUACAGGUGUGAGCCACCAUGCGUCCCUGUUUACUAAUUUUUUAAGCUUAGUUUUUGAUGCUUUACACAUUUGGGAACCUCGUUACUUCCUGGACCAGAAGUGGUACAAAUAAGCAAGUUUUAUACACACACUCUUUUUUUUUUUAUUUAGACAGAGUCUUGCUCAGGCUGGAGUGCAGUGGCAUGAUCUCAGCUCACUGCAUCCUUCCACCUCCCGGGUUCAGGUGAUUCUCCUACCUUAGCCUCCUGAGUAGCUGGGAUUACAGGCAUGUGUCACCACCCUAGCUAAUUUUUUUGUUUUUUGUUUUCUGUGUUUUUUUUUUUUUUUGAGACGGAGUCCUGCUCUGUUGCCCAGGCUGGAGUGCGGUGGCAUGAUCUCAACUCAUUGCAACCUCCGCCUCCCGGGUUCAGGUGAUUCUCCUACCUCAGCCUCCUGAGUAGCUGGGAUUACAGGCACCCACCACCACACCUGGCUAAUUUUUUGUAUUUUUAGUAGAGAUGGGGUUUCACCAUGUUGGCCAGGCUGGUCUUGAACUCCUGACCUCAAGUCAUCUGCCCAUCUCGGCCUUCCAAAGUGCUGGGAUUACAGGUGUGAGCCAUUGCACGCAGCCCCAUGGCUAAUUUUUGUAUUUUUAGUAGAGACAGGGUUUCACCAUGUUGGCCAGACUGGUCUUGAACUGCUGACCUCAGGUGAUCCACCUGCCUUGGCCUCCCAAAGUGCUGGGAUUACUUUGGGAUCCCGGUGUGAGCCACCGUGCCCGGCCAGGAAAAAAAGCAUUCAAGAAAUAAAGUUGUGGUUAAAUUAAUACGCUUCAGUUCCACUAGUGCACUGCUAGAAAAACAGUCCUCCACUAACGUGAAGUCAACUUGAAAUAAAUAUGAAGUAUUUAGGUAUUUGCCUAAAGUUGCAAAAAGACCUAAGAAUUGUUUUACUUAAAAGAAAUGGUAUAGAGGCCAGGUCCGGUGGCUUAUGCCUGUUUUCCCAGCACUUUGGGAGACCAAGGUGGGAGGAUCACUUGAGCCCAGGAGUUCAAGACUGACCUGGGCAACAUAGCAAGACCCUGUGUCUAUUUAAG
This 3336-nucleotide small RNA is filed under the name Pan troglodytes (chimpanzee). Its description in RNAcentral is "retained intron". The record is from RNAcentral. Lineage: Eukaryota; Metazoa; Chordata; Mammalia; Primates; Hominidae.